AUUCUAUUCAGCACAAACCGACAUGAGUUUCUUCUUCCUGUGCCGUUAACUGACACGUUUGUUGGUGGAGGCGUACUUUCACACCCAACCAAACAUGAAGCUUGGAGGAGAAGGAGCAGCUGGACUUGACGUUGUGUUGUUCUGGUUCAUGGGACCUUGGUAACGUUCGCUGAUCACGACCCCUUUGACUAUCAAAGCGCCCGAUCUACGCCGUCGGAUUCUUCCCGCUAGUCGUCUUGUUUCCCCUCCGCCUGUAGCCUUGGAGACGACACACAGCAGAGGCUUCUGGGUUGAAGCCUCCGUCCGUCAUCACAGAGAAGAAGAAGAAGAAGAAGAAGAAGAAGAAGAAGAAGAAGAAGAAGAAGAAGAAGAAGAAUUGCCACGUAUUAUUUUACACGUACAGGAAAUUGUUCUGUGCAUUUAACCCGUCCUGCACAGUGGGUGCUGCCGUACAGCAGUCAGGGGUCAGGGGUCACGGUGCACCCGCUCUACUCCGGGUCGCCCCGAGCAUAACGGAGUCGUCGGCUCACGUUAAGAUGCAGCCGCGAUGACAUCGCCGCCCCGGCAGAACAAGUCGGUCCUGUAUGACGGAGCAGCCGGACCACCCACGCGGGCCGCUCCAGCGAGCUCUGAGACCCCGUCUGGAUUCACAACGGUUCUGCCAAAAUGAAAGCAGAGUUUAAAUCAAACUGGCAGAAGAUUAGAAACGGGUGGAGAUCCUCCAUCUGCAGCUCCCGAAGGCACGAGCUGUGGGCUCCGACAUCCCCAAUGACGGACACGCGAGAUCCCGGACGUCUCCAGAGACCGGAACCAAAGCCAACGCGAGCUUCACAGAGACACAACCGGAGGUCUCCGGUGUUUGUUUGAGCCCCUCCGCUCACGCACGGCGUCCCUCUUCCCCCCACGACGCGCGUUCUUCCCACAGCGAACAAUCGGCACCGUUCGUCUCCGGCGUUUGGUCCCCCGGAGGCCGACGUGGGACUGCAGCGACGUGUUGUGUCUCUGCCUACGAGACAUUGGUCGGGCCAGACAGCUCGAUGGAAACCACAGCCGCCCCCCCCCUAGAUCCCCCCCCCGUCCCUCCAUCCAUCCAUCCAUCCCUCCGUCAGCCUCCUCCUCCUCCUCCUCUGAACUCGACUCGCGGGCUCCGGCAUUCCUUUGUCCUGAUGCAUCAACUGUAAUGAGUUAGUGGUUGGAAAAGAAAUGGAGACUCGACUGGCUUCGGGAAAAUUACACAGCGUGUUUCCAGAGAGUCAAACUGUCGGAAGAGCAGAAGAGCGUCGCCGACUUUAGUCCCUCGGAGGCCGCUGCCGCAGCAGCAUCUGCACACAUCAGGAAGCCGAGCAGGGAAGCAGAGGAAAUAACUCAUUAGAGGGGAAGCCUUUCCGUCCCCGCUCAAAGCUCCGUAUUCCAGGACCCCCCCCUGUGACCUGAAUGACGACAACCAGCAGAAUUAUUGUUAAUCGAUGCUGCUCAAGUUGAUGCUUUUUACUUUUUCUUCUGACAGCUUCUCUUGAUUUAUUAAAGAUACGUUGCGUUUAGUUCAGGUGAA
This is a long non-coding RNA of Gasterosteus aculeatus aculeatus (three-spined stickleback), 1552 nucleotides long. Lineage: Eukaryota; Metazoa; Chordata; Actinopteri; Perciformes; Gasterosteidae. The record is from Ensembl.